RNAcentral lists this ribosomal RNA (455 nucleotides) under uncultured Pseudomonadaceae bacterium. RNAcentral describes it as "bacterial SSU rRNA". It matches the Rfam family "Bacterial small subunit ribosomal RNA", at positions 925 to 1382 of the family's 1533-position model. The record is from RNAcentral. Lineage: Bacteria; Pseudomonadati; Pseudomonadota; Gammaproteobacteria; Pseudomonadales; Pseudomonadaceae.
ACAAGCGGUGGAGCAUGUGGUUAAUUCGAAGCAACGCGAGAACCUUACAGGCCUUGACAUGCAGAGAACUUUCCAGAGAUGGAUUGGUGCCUUCGGGAACUCUGACACAGGUGCUGCAUGGCUGUCGUCAGCUCGUGUCGUGAGAUGUUGGGUUAAGUCCCGUAACGAGCGCAACCCUUGUCCUUAGUUACCAGCACGUUAAGGUGGGCACUCUAAUGAGACUGCCGGUGACAAACCGGAGGAAGGUGGGGAUGACGUCAAGUCCUCAUGGCCCUUAUGGGUAGGGCUUCGCACGUCAUACAAUGGUCGGUACAGAGGGUUGCCAACCCGCGAGGGGGAGCUAAUCCCACAAAGCCGAUCGUAGUCCGGAUCGCAGUCUGCAACUCGACUGCGUGAAGUCGGAAUCGCUAGUAAUCGCGGAUCAGCAUGUCGCGGUGAAUACGUUCCCGGGUCUU